UUAGUGGCGGACGGGUGAGUAACGCGUGAGUAACCUGCCUUUGAGAGGGGAAUAACUUCCCGAAAGGGAUGCUAAUACCGCAUAACGCAUAGAAGUCGCAUGGUUUUUAUGCCAAAGAUUUAUCGCUCAAAGAUGGACUCGCGUCCGAUUAGCCAGUUGGCGGGGUAACGGCCCACCAAAGCGACGAUCGGUAGCCGGACUGAGAGGUUGAACGGCCACAUUGGGACUGAGACACGGCCCAGACUCCUACGGGAGGCAGCAGUGGGGGAUAUUGCGCAAUGGGGGGAACCCUGACGCAGCAACGCCGCGUGAAGGAUGAAGGUUUUCGGAUUGUAAACUUCUUUUAUUUAGGACGAACAAUGACGGUACUAAAUGAAUAAGCUCCGGCUAACUACGUGCCAGCAGCCGCGGUAAUACGUAGGGAGCAAGCGUUAUCCGGAUUUACUGGGUGUAAAGGGUGCGUAGGCGGCUUGAUAAGUCAGAUGUGAAAUGUAUGGGCUCAACCCAUGCACUGCAUUUGAAACUAUUGAGCUUGAGUGAAGUAGAGGUAGGCGGAAUUCCCUGUGUAGCGGUGAAAUGCGUAGAGAUAGGGAGGAACACCAGUGGCGAAGGCGGCCUACUGGGCUUUAACUGACGCUGAGGCACGAAAGCGUGGGUAGCAAACAGGAUUAGAUACCCUGGUAGUCCACGCUGUAAACGAUGAUUACUAGGUGUGGGGGGUCUGACCCCUUCCGUGCCGGAGUUAACACAAUAAGUAAUCCACCUGGGGAGUACGACCGCCAAGGGUUGAAAACUCAAAGGAAUUGACGGGGGCCCGCACAAGCAGUGGAGUAUGUGGUUUAAUUCGAAGCA
RNAcentral lists this ribosomal RNA (852 nucleotides) under uncultured bacterium. RNAcentral describes it as "bacterial SSU rRNA". It matches the Rfam family "Bacterial small subunit ribosomal RNA", at positions 92 to 958 of the family's 1533-position model. The record is from RNAcentral.